RNAcentral lists this ribosomal RNA (484 nucleotides) under uncultured bacterium. Its description in RNAcentral is "partial 16S ribosomal RNA". It matches the Rfam family "Bacterial small subunit ribosomal RNA", at positions 30 to 507 of the family's 1533-position model. The record is from RNAcentral.
CUUGCACGCUGGCGGCAGGCCUAACACAUGCAAGUCGAGCGGAUGAAGGGAGCUUGCUCCUGGAUUCAGCGGCGGACGGGUGAGUAAUGCCUAGGAAUCUGCCUGGUAGUGGGGGAUAACGUCUGGAAACGGGCGCUAAUACCGCAUACGUCCUGAGGGAGAAAGUGGGGGAUCUUCGGACCUCACGCUAUCAGAUGAGCCUAGGUCGGAUUAGCUAGUUGGUGGGGUAAAGGCCUACCAAGGCGACGAUCCGUAACUGGUCUGAGAGGAUGAUCAGUCACACUGGAACUGAGACACGGUCCAGACUCCUACGGGAGGCAGCAGUGGGGAAUAUUGGACAAUGGGCGAAAGCCUGAUCCAGCCAUGCCGCGUGUGUGAAGAAGGUCUUCGGAUUGUAAAGCACUUUAAGUUGGGAGGAAGGGCAGUAAGUUAAUACCUUGCUGUUUUGACGUUACCAACAGAAUAAGCACCGGCUAACUUCGUG